Molecule: ribosomal RNA, 253 nt
Filed under: uncultured bacterium
Lineage: Bacteria
Description: partial 16S ribosomal RNA
Rfam family: Bacterial small subunit ribosomal RNA
Source: RNAcentral
UACGAGGGGGGCAAAUGGUGUUCGGAAUCACUGGGCGUAAAGGGAGCGUAGGCGGGUUCUUAAGUAAGGUGUUUAAUCCCGGGGCCCAACCCCGGACCGGCACUUUAAACUGGGAAUCUUGAAUAGUGGAGAGGUCAGUGGAAUUGGGGGUGUAGCGGUGGAAUGCGUAGAGAUCCCCAAGAACACCAGUUGCGAAGGCGGCUGACUGGACACAUAUUGACGCUGAGGCUCGAAAGCAUGGGGAGCAAACAGG